RNAcentral lists this ribosomal RNA (675 nucleotides) under uncultured Mortierella. RNAcentral describes it as "eukaryotic LSU rRNA". The stretch from base 231 to 384 matches the Rfam family "5.8S ribosomal RNA". The record is from RNAcentral. Lineage: Eukaryota; Fungi; Mortierellomycota; Mortierellomycetes; Mortierellales; Mortierellaceae.
CUUGGUCAUUUAGAGGAAGUAAAAGUCGUAACAGGGUUUCCGUAGGUGAACCUGCGGAAGGAUCAUUCAUAACGAGUGUUUAUGGCACUCUAAAAAUCCAUACCCACCUUGUGUGCAGCGUUAAGAGUCUUUUGUCUCUCUUUCAGAGGGCACGAGAUUUCUUUUAAUUAAUCUACCUUAAACCAGUUUGUCUGAAGCAUUGUAUCAUGAAUAAACAUAAUUCAAAAUACAACUUUCAACAACGGAUCUCUUGGCUCUCGCAUCGAUGAAGAACGCAGCGAAAUGCGAUACGUAAUGUGAAUUGCAGAAUUCAGUGAAUCAUCGAAUCUUUGAACGCACAUUGCGCUCUCUGGUAUUCCGGAGAGCAUGCUUGUUUGAGUAUCAGUAAAACACCCUCAGUUCUCUUUUUGAGAACUGGACUUGAGUCAUCCCAACGGCAGUUUCAAAACUACUGGCGGGUCGCUUGAAAUGCAGGUGCGGCUGGACACAUCUUCUGAGCUAUAAGCAUUACUUAUUUAAUCCCGUCAGACGGAUUAUUUCUACUGCUACAGCUAUAUAAGGUCGAUUGUCCGUUUGCCCGACUGAUGCAGAAAAAACAGAGAGAAAUCUUUGUUCACUCGAUCUCAAAUCAAGUAAGACUACCCGCUGAACUUAAGCAUAUCAAUAAGCGGAGGA